Molecule: ribosomal RNA, 677 nt
Filed under: uncultured bacterium
Lineage: Bacteria
Description: bacterial SSU rRNA
Rfam family: Bacterial small subunit ribosomal RNA
Source: RNAcentral
GGCUCAGAUUGAACGCUGGCGGCAUGCCUUACACAUGCAAGUCGAACGGCAGCACGGAGCUUGCUCUGGUGGCGAGUGGCGAACGGGUGAGUAAUAUAUCGGAACGUACCCUAGAGUGGGGGAUAACGUAGCGAAAGUUACGCUAAUACCGCAUACGAUCUAAGGAUGAAAGUGGGGGAUCGCAAGACCUCAUGCUCGUGGAGCGGCCGAUAUCUGAUUAGCUAGUUGGUAGGGUAAAAGCCUACCAAGGCAUCGAUCAGUAGCUGGUCUGAGAGGACGACCAGCCACACUGGAACUGAGACACGGUCCAGACUCCUACGGGAGGCAGCAGUGGGGAAUUUUGGACAAUGGGCGAAAGCCUGAUCCAGCAAUGCCGCGUGAGUGAAGAAGGCCUUCGGGUUGUAAAGCUCUUUUGUCAGGGAAGAAACGGUGAGAGCUAAUAUCUCUUGCUAAUGACGGUACCUGAAGAAUAAGCACCGGCUAACUACGUGCCAGCAGCCGCGGUAAUACGUAGGGUGCAAGCGUUAAUCGGAAUUACUGGGCGUAAAGCGUGCGCAGGCGGUUUUGUAAGUCUGAUGUGAAAUCCCCGGGCUCAACCUGGGAAUUGCAUUGGAGACUGCAAGGCUAGAAUCUGGCAGAGGGGGGUAGAAUUCCACGUGUAGCAGUGAAAUGCGUAG